UACGUAGGGUGCAGGCGUUAAUCGGAAUUACUGGGCGUAAAGCGUGCGCAGGCGGUUGUGCAAGACCGAUGUGAAAUCCCCGGGCUUAACCUGGGAAUGGCAUUGGUGACUGUACGGCUAGAGUGUGUCAGAGGGGGGUAGAAUUCCACGUGUAGCAGUGAAAUGCGUAGAGAUGUGGAGGAAUACCGAUGGCGAAGGCAGCCCCCUGGGAUAACACUGACGCUCAUGCACGAAAGCGUGGGGAGCAAACAGG
This 253-nucleotide ribosomal RNA is filed under the name uncultured bacterium. RNAcentral describes it as "partial 16S ribosomal RNA". It matches the Rfam family "Bacterial small subunit ribosomal RNA", at positions 524 to 776 of the family's 1533-position model. The record is from RNAcentral.